GGCGGGGUAGCUCAGCCUGGAGAGAGCGUGCGAUUGCUAAUCGCCAGGUCGGUGGUUCAAGCCCACUCCCCGCCACCA
RNAcentral lists this transfer RNA (78 nucleotides) under Nitrospira sp. RNAcentral describes it as "tRNA-Ser". It matches the Rfam family "tRNA". Rfam says of the family: Transfer RNA (tRNA) molecules are approximately 80 nucleotides in length. Their secondary structure includes four short double-helical elements and three loops (D, anti-codon, and T loops). The record is from RNAcentral. Lineage: Bacteria; Pseudomonadati; Nitrospirota; Nitrospiria; Nitrospirales; Nitrospiraceae. RNAcentral also lists the same sequence under 1 other name.